RNAcentral lists this ribosomal RNA (253 nucleotides) under uncultured bacterium. RNAcentral's name for it is "partial 16S ribosomal RNA". It matches the Rfam family "Bacterial small subunit ribosomal RNA", at positions 524 to 776 of the family's 1533-position model. The record is from RNAcentral.
UACAGAGGUCUCAAGCGUUGUUCGGAUUCAUUGGGCGUAAAGGGUGCGUAGGCGGCGCGGUAAGUCGGGUGUGAAAUCUCGGAGCUUAACUCCGAAACUGCAUUCGAUACUGCCGUGCUUGAGGACUGGAGAGGAGACUGGAAUUUACGGUGUAGCGGUGAAAUGCGUAAAUAUCGUAAGGAAGACCAGUGGCGAAGGCGGGUCUCUGGACAGUUCCUGACGCUGAGGCACGAAGGUCAGGGGAGCAAACGGG